This 561-nucleotide ribosomal RNA is filed under the name uncultured bacterium. RNAcentral's name for it is "partial 16S ribosomal RNA". It matches the Rfam family "Bacterial small subunit ribosomal RNA", at positions 355 to 1375 of the family's 1533-position model. The record is from RNAcentral.
UGGGGAAUAUUGGACAAUGGGCGCAAGCCUGAUCCAGCCAUGCCGCGUGAGUGAUGAAGGCCUUAGGGUUGUAAAGCUCUUUCGCCGACGAAGAUAAUGACGGUAGUCGGAGAAGAAGCCCCGGCUAACUUCGUGCCAGCAGCCGCGGUAAUACGAAGGGGGCUAGCGUUGUUCGGAAUCACUGGGCGUAAAGCGCACGUAGGCGGAUUGUUAAGUCAGGGGUGAAAGCCUGGAGCUCAACUCCAGAACUGCCCUUGAUACUGGCAAUCUCGAGUCCGGAAGAGGUAAGUGGAACUGCGAGUGUAGAGGUGAAAUUCGUAGAUAUUCGCAAGAACACCAGUGGCGAAGGCGGCUUACUGGUCCGGUACUGACGCUGAGGUGCGAAAAGCGUGGGGAGCAAACAGGAUUAGAUACCCUGGUAGUCCACGCCGUAAACGAUGGAGGCUAGCCGUUGGCGAGCAUGCUCGUCAGUGGCGCAGCUAACGCAUUAAGCCUCCCGCCUGGGGAGUACGGUCGCAAGAUUAAAACUCAAAGGAAUUGACGGGGUCAUAGCUGUUUCCU